This 211-nucleotide long non-coding RNA is filed under the name Ananas comosus (pineapple). RNAcentral describes it as "long non-coding RNA (ACOM_LNC041359)". The record is from RNAcentral. Lineage: Eukaryota; Viridiplantae; Streptophyta; Magnoliopsida; Poales; Bromeliaceae.
GCCACCGCACCCACACGCUCUAAUAUCUCAAACGGUCCGACAUAUCGGGGACUUAGCUUCCCACGGACUCCGAAUCGUUUGACUCCUCGCAUCGGCGAUACUCUCAAGAAUACACAGUCUCCAACCGCGAACUGUAAAUCCUUUCUUCUCUUGUCGGCAUAACUCUUCUGUCGAGAUUGCGCCGUGGCUAACCGUUGACGGGUAAGGCGAA